This is a non-coding RNA of Xyrichtys novacula (pearly razorfish), 2638 nucleotides long. The record is from the annotation of a GenBank genome assembly. Lineage: Eukaryota; Metazoa; Chordata; Actinopteri; Labriformes; Labridae.
CUUUAAAAAACUAAAAAAAAUCUAAAAAAAAAACUUAAAACAGGCAGAAAAAACUAAAGUAAACUAAAAAAGGAGAAAGGAUAUUAUAAACAAAAUAAAAAAACAGAAGGAAAAGUAUUUCUGAUAAAACACCCUAAAUAUAUUACAAAAAGAACUAAAAAAAAAACUAAAAAAAAAAACUAAAAACAGGCAGACAAAAAACUAAAGAAAAUUAAAAAAAAAGAGAAAGGACAGUGUAAACAAAAUAAAAAAAAACAGAAGGAAAACUAUUUCUGAAAAAAAACACCCUAAAUAUAUAUAACAAAAAGAACUAAAAAAACUAAUAAAAACAUCUUAAAACAGGCAGACAAAAAACUAAAGAAAACUAAAUAAAGAGAAAUGAUAGUAUAAACAAUAUUAAAAAAAACAGAAAGAAAAGUAUAUCAGAAAAAACACCCUAAAUAUAUAGAAAAAAAACAAAAAAAAACUAAAAAAAAAACUUAAAACAGGCAGAAAAAAACUAAAGAAAACUAAAAAAGAGAAAGGAUUGUAUAAACAAAAUAAAACAAAACAGAAGGAAAAGUAUUUCAGAAAAAAACACCCUAAAUAUAUAGAAAAAAAAAAAAAAAAAAAAAAAACUUAAAACAGGUAGAAAAUACUAAAGAAAACUAAAAAAGAGAAAGGAUAGUAUAAACAAAAUAAAAAAACAGAAGGAAAAGUAUUUCAGAAAGGAAAACCCUUAAUAUUUAUAAAUGACAAAAAAAACUAAAGAAAACUGAGAAAAAGAAUAGUAUUCGUAAAAAAAAAAACUAAAAAAAAAAAAGAAACAUCACAGUAUUUCUGAAAAAAAACUUAAAACAGGCAGAAAAAUAAAAAAGAACUAUAGGAAACUAAAGAAAUGAAAAGUAUUUCCGAAAAAAAAGAACAAAAACCCACCCUAAACCGGGUGUUUUGCACAGAAAAAAAAACCCUUGCGGUUUUUCCCUCCCAUGUGAGGGUUUUUUCCCCUCCUUGAGCUACCACCUUACCGUGGUGGAGGGGUUUGUGUGUCCCAAUGAUCCCAGGAGCUAUGUUGUCAGGGCUUUAUGCCUCUGAAAGGUUACCCAAGGCAGCAGGUCCUGGGGGAGGGACCAGACUAAGAGUAGCUCAUCAAGAAAGAGGUGCCAGGCAAAAAAAUAGGAAAAAAAACUGAAGAAAAAAAAACUAAAGGAAACAAAAAACAAAACAAUUAAAACAGGCAGAAAAAAACUAAAGAAAACUAAUAAAAAGAAGAUUAGUAUUUCUAAAAAAAACUUCAAAAAACUAAAAAAAAACUUAUAACAGGCAGACAAAAACUAAAGAAAACUAAAAAGGAGAAAGGAUAGUAUAAACAAAAUAAAAAAAAGAAGGAAAAGUAUUUCAGAAAAAAACAACCUAUAUAUAUAUAUAAAUAACAAAAAACUGAAAAAAACCUUAAAAAAAACCUUAAAAACAGGCAGAAUAAAACUAAAGAAAACUAAAAAAAGAAAAAAAAGAAUAGUAUUUCUAAAAAAAACUUUAAAAAACUAAAAAAAACUAAAAAAAAAACUUAAAACAGGCAGAAAAAAACUAAAGUGAACUAAAAAGAGGAGAAAGGAUAGUGUAAACAAAAUAAAAAAACAGAAGGAAAACUAUUUCCGAAAAAAAAACACCCUAAAUAUAUAUAACAAAAAGAACUAAAAAAACUAAUAAAAAAAACUUAAAACAGGCAGACAAAAAACUAAAGAAAACUAAAAAAAGAGAAAGGAUAGUAUAAACAAAAUUAAAAAAACAGAAAGAAAAGUAUAUCAGAAAAAACACCCUAAAUAUAUAGAAAAAACAAAAAAAAAUUAAAACAGGCAGAAAAAAACUGAAGAAAACUAAAAAAGAGAAAGGAUAGUAUAAACAAAAUAAAAAAACAGAAGGAAAAGUAUUUCAGAAAAGAACAACCUAUAUAUAUAUAAAUAAUAAAAAAAGAAAAAAAAAACUAAAAAAAAAACUUAAAAACAGGCAGGAUAAAACUAAAGAAAACUAAAAAAGAAGAAAAAGAAUAGUAUUUUCUAAAAAAACUUUAAAAAACUAAAAAAACUAAAAAAAACUUAAAACAGGCAGAAAAAAACUAAAGUAAACUAAAAAAAGGAGAAAGGAUAGUGUAUACAAAAUUUAAAAAACAGAAGGAAAAGUAUUUCUGAAAAAAAACACCCUAAAUAUAUAUAACAAAUAGAAUUAAAAAAAACAAAAGAAAGGAUAGGAUAAAGGAUAGAAGGAUAGAAAGGAUAGUAUAAACAAAAUAAAAAAACAGAAGGAAAAGUAUUUCAGAAAAGAACAACCUAUAUAUAUAUAAAUAACAAAAAAACUGAAAAAAACCUGAAAAAAACCCUUAAAAACAGGCAGAAUAAAACUAAAGAAAACUAAAAAAAGAAGAAAAAGAAUAGUAUUUCUAAAAAAACUUUAAAAAACUAAAAAAAAAACUUAAAACAGGCAGAAAAAAACUAAAGUAAACUAAAAAGAGGAGAAAGGAUAGUGUAAACAAAAUAAAAAAAAACAGAAGGAAAAGUAUUUCUGAAAAAAACACCCUAAUUAUAAAAAACAAAAAGAACUCAAAAAACUAAUACAAAAAACUUAAAACAGGCAGACAAAAAACUAAAGAAAAUUAAAAAAA